Camelus ferus (Wild Bactrian camel) is the source of this 73-nucleotide transfer RNA. It matches the Rfam family "tRNA". From Rfam's summary of the family: Transfer RNA (tRNA) molecules are approximately 80 nucleotides in length. Their secondary structure includes four short double-helical elements and three loops (D, anti-codon, and T loops). The record is from Rfam. NCBI's taxonomy places the organism in Eukaryota, Metazoa, Chordata, Mammalia, Artiodactyla, Camelidae.
GAGGGUAUAACUCAAGUGAUAGAGUGCAUGUUUGGCAUGCACCAGGUCCUGGGCUCAAUCCCCAGUAUCUCCU